RNAcentral lists this ribosomal RNA (555 nucleotides) under uncultured bacterium. RNAcentral describes it as "partial 16S ribosomal RNA". It matches the Rfam family "Bacterial small subunit ribosomal RNA", at positions 355 to 900 of the family's 1533-position model. The record is from RNAcentral.
UAGGGAAUCUUCCACAAUGGACGCAAGUCUGAUGGAGCAACGCCGCGUGAGUGAAGAAGGUUUUCGGACCGUAAAGCUCUGUUGUUGGUGAAGAAGGAUAGAGGUAGUAACUGGCCUUUAUUUGACGGUAAUCAACCAGAAAGUCACGGCUAACUACGUGCCAGCAGCCGCGGUAAUACGUAGGUGGCAAGCGCUGUCCGGAUUUAUUGGGCGUAAAGCGAGCGCAGGCGGAAGAAUAAGUCUGAUGUGAAAGCCCUCGGCUUAACCGAGGAAUUGCAUCGGAAACUGUUUUUCUUGAGUGCAGAAGAGGAGAGUAGAACUCCAUGUGUAGCGGUGGAAUGCGUAGAUAUAUGGAAGAAUACCAGUGGCGAAGGCGGCUCUCUGGUCUGCAACUGACGCUGAGGCUCGAAAGCAUGGGUAGCGAACAGGAUUAGAUACCCUGGUAGUCCAUGCCGUAAACGAUGAGUGCUAAGUGUUGGGAGGCUUCCGCCUCUCAGUGCUGCAGCUAACGCAUUAAGCACUCCGCCUGGGGGAGUACGACCGCAAGGUUGAAAC